This 236-nucleotide ribosomal RNA is filed under the name uncultured bacterium. RNAcentral describes it as "partial 16S ribosomal RNA". It matches the Rfam family "Bacterial small subunit ribosomal RNA", at positions 100 to 334 of the family's 1533-position model. The record is from RNAcentral.
CGGGACGGGUGAGUAACGCGUGGGUAACCGUGCCUUGUACAGGGGGAUAACAGUUGGAAACGGCUGCUAAUACCGCAUAAGCGCACGGCAUCGCAUGAUGCAGUGUGAAAAACUCCGGUGGUAUAAGAUGACCCGCGUUGGAUUAGCUAGUUGGUGAGGUAACGGCCCACCAAGGCGACGAUCCAUAGCCGACCUGAGAGGGUGACCGGCCACAUUGGGACUGAGACACGGCCCAA